AGAGUUUGAUCMUGGCUCAGGACGAACGCUGGCGGCGUGCCUAACACAUGCAAGUCGAACGAUUCGAUUUCGAACUUCGAUCUUCGAAUUUCGAAUAUCGAAUAGUGGCGGACGGGUGAGUAACGCGUGGGUAACCUACCCAUAAAGCCGGGACAACCCUUGGAAACGAGGGCUAAUACCGGAUAAUCUUUKAGMWUGGCAUCAMKUYUUAAGAAAAGGUGGCCUCUGARKAUGCURCCGAUUAUGGAUGGACCCGCGUCUGAUUAGCURGUUGGUGGGGUAAAGGCCUACCAAGGCGACGAUCAGUAGCCGGCCUGAGAGGGUGAACGGCCACACUGGGACUGAGACACGGCCCAGACUCCUACGGGAGGCAGCAGUGGGGAAUCUUCCGCAAUGGACGAAAGUCUGACGGAGCAACGCCGCGUGUAUGAUGAAGGUCUUCGGAUUGUAAAGUACUGUCUUUGGGGAAGAAUGGUGCAUUUGAAAAGAUUGAGUGCAUAUGACGGUACCCAAGGAGGAAGCCCCGGCUAACUACGUGCCAGCAGCCGCGGUAA
This 554-nucleotide ribosomal RNA is filed under the name Peptococcaceae bacterium enrichment culture 13Scon08. RNAcentral's name for it is "SSU rRNA". It matches the Rfam family "Bacterial small subunit ribosomal RNA", at positions 8 to 523 of the family's 1533-position model. The record is from RNAcentral. Lineage: Bacteria; Bacillati; Bacillota; Clostridia; Eubacteriales; Peptococcaceae.